CCUACGGGAGGCAGCAGUGGGGAAUAUUGGACAGUGGGCGAAAGCCUGAUCCAGCCCUGCCGCGUGUGUGAAGAAGGCCCUCGGGUUGUAAAGCACUUUCAGCGAGGAAGAACGCCUAGCGGUUAAUACCCGCUAGGAAAGACAUCACUUGCAGAAGAAGCACCGGCUAACUCCGUGCCAGCAGCCGCGGUAAUACGGAGGGUGCAAGCGUUAAUCGGAAUUACUGGGCGUAAAGCGCGCGUAGGUGGCUUGAUAAGCCGGUUGUGAAAGCCCCGGGCUCAACCUGGGAACGGCAUCCGGAACUGUCAAGCUAGAGUGCAGGAGAGGAAGGUAGAAUUCCCGGUGUAGCGGUGAAAUGCGUAGAGAUCGGGAGGAAUACCAGUGGCGAAGGCGGCCUUCUGGACUGACACUGACACUGAGGUGCGAAAGCGUGGGUAGCAAACAGGAUUAGAUACCCUGGUAGUCCACGCCGUAAACGAUGUCGACCAGCCGUUGGGUGCCUAGCGCACUUUGUGGCGAAGUUAACGCGAUAAGUCGACCGCCUGGGGAGUACGGCCGCAAGGUUAAAACUCAAAUGAAUUGACGG
RNAcentral lists this ribosomal RNA (586 nucleotides) under uncultured bacterium. Its description in RNAcentral is "bacterial SSU rRNA". It matches the Rfam family "Bacterial small subunit ribosomal RNA", at positions 338 to 916 of the family's 1533-position model. The record is from RNAcentral.